Molecule: long non-coding RNA, 448 nt
Filed under: Androctonus crassicauda
Lineage: Eukaryota; Metazoa; Arthropoda; Arachnida; Scorpiones; Buthidae
Source: RNAcentral
AAUGUUUUCAAUGCUAUUGAUAUUUUUAACUUGUGCUAAAUAUUUACGAACAAAUGUAUUACAUUUUUUUGCAAAAAAUGUUUUCUUCUAUGUUUUAACAAUAAUAAUGCAGUAUCCCUGCCAUUCUCAUGACAAUAGAAAGGUAAGAUUGUAUCUGUGUUUGUGUGUUACUGUAUGUAGCAUUUACUGUUUCUAUUGGAUGAUGAGAUAUAUGAUCAUCAUAAAUUGAAAACUGUGCUUGAUUAUUAGUGAAGUAUAAACAUUUAAUCCACUGGAUUUUUGCUUUGGACAGACUCCAUUUGGACUCAACAUGUGCUAUAUUGAACUCCACUCAAGCAGUUAUUCUAUAUGUUUAUUUACUGUUUUAAUAUUUUAUUAAACUUUAGAAUUAUUCCAAAUAAUAAAAAAUUUAAAGUGAAUACAUUGCUAUACAUUUAUUUUGUUAUAU